Molecule: ribosomal RNA, 329 nt
Filed under: Acinetobacter baumannii
Lineage: Bacteria; Pseudomonadati; Pseudomonadota; Gammaproteobacteria; Moraxellales; Moraxellaceae
Description: bacterial LSU rRNA
Rfam family: Bacterial large subunit ribosomal RNA
Source: RNAcentral
CGUGAGACAGUUCGGUCCCUAUCUACCGUGGGCGCUGGAAAUUUGAGAGGAUCUGCUCCUAGUACGAGAGGACCAGAGUGGACGAACCUCUGGUGUACCGGUUGUGACGCCAGUCGCAUCGCCGGGUAGCUAUGUUCGGAAGGGAUAACCGCUGAAAGCAUCUAAGCGGGAAGCCUACCUCAAGAUAAGAUUUCCCUAGGACUUUAUGUCCUCUAAAGAGCCGUUCGAGACUAGGACGUUGAUAGGUUGGAUGUGGAAGCAUAGUGAUAUGUGAAGCUGACCAAUACUAAUUGCUCGUGAGGCUUGACUAUACAACACCCAAGCAGUUG